RNAcentral lists this long non-coding RNA (630 nucleotides) under Medicago truncatula (barrel medic). Its description in RNAcentral is "long non-coding RNA (MTRU_LNC002077)". Lineage: Eukaryota; Viridiplantae; Streptophyta; Magnoliopsida; Fabales; Fabaceae. The record is from RNAcentral.
ACCCAACAAUGUAAUUACUCAACUUACAUACACCAACACAAUGUAAAAGUACACCUCCAAUUACAUUGCACAACUCCAACAACAAUUGCAUUAUCAAGUAAUUACGUCCACACAAAUCAACAUAGCACAUAUCAAUCAAGUGUCAUCACAACAACCACAAUAAUCAUCAAUAUCAUUUCAACAUCUUCAACAUUAUGUAAUCACAUCAUUACAAUAUUUCUCACAUACCAAGUAAGAAAACAUACAACAUCUCGUAAUUCAUUCAUACAUCUCCAUUUAGUCAUACAAAACUAAACAAGAAAGAUUCGUAAGGUGAUUGGCUUAAAAGGAUAUUUUCAUCAAUGUUCGUCUCUCUUGACAUUUUCCAAGAAUUCCCAUUUUCAAAACCCAAACCAAUUAAGACUCAAGGAAACCAAUCACAACCAUUUUCAAUAAUCAUAUAAUCAUUGUACUAUCUUAAUCUCAUUUUAUUUCCUUGAAGAUCCAAUUUUCGGAAAAUUCAACGUUCUUGGACAAUUUUCAAAGUUUGAUUCAAUUUCACAAAACAAGUCCAAAUCUCAUUCAAGGAGAUGUUCCAGUAGGAUUAAUUGUACAAACAGUGAUUAUACAAGUUAAAAGAAGUGUUUAAAG